AAUAUUGCACAAUGGGGGAAACCCUCCUGCAGCGACGCCGCGUGAGUGAAGAAGUAUUCCGGUAUGUAAAGCUCUAUCAGCAGGGAAGAAAUUAACGGUACCUGACUAAGAAGCCCCGGCUAACUACGAGCCAGCAGCCCCGGUAAUACGUAGGGGGCAAGCGUUAUCCGGAUUUACUGGGUGUAAAGGGAGCGUAGGUGGUGCAGCAAGUCAGAUGUGAAAGCCCGGGGCUCAACGCCGGAACUGCAUUUGAAACUGUCGUGCUAGAGUGCAGGAGAGGUAAGUGGAAUUCCUAGUGUAGCGGUGAAAUGCGUAGAUAUUAGGAGGAACACCAGUGGCGAAGGCGGCUUACUGGACUGUAACUGACACUGAGGCUCGAAAGCGUGGGGAGCAAAC
RNAcentral lists this ribosomal RNA (396 nucleotides) under uncultured bacterium. RNAcentral describes it as "partial 16S ribosomal RNA". It matches the Rfam family "Bacterial small subunit ribosomal RNA", at positions 360 to 773 of the family's 1533-position model. The record is from RNAcentral.